GGGGCUGACUGGAUUUGACAGCAGGAUGAGGUGUUGUGUAAGCACGCAGAGAGUUGUAUGCCGCUCUCUAUAAUACAUGACAUUCGAAAAUUUAUCUGGCGAAAACAACUACGCUCUCGCUGCCUAAUCGAAGAAUAGUAGAUAUGAGGCUUUAUCCCGGCACCAGGUGCUGGGACGAGAUGUCGCUCUGAGACUGGUUCCCCGAAGUACUCAGGUCAAGUGGCACAGCAGAAUCAGGGAUAGUUCGAAGCGGCUCCGCGCGACGGGCGAAGAUUCUUAGGAGAUAAGGCGAUGCCUGGUGGCUCAGGUCUGGACAUCGCCCGAAAAGACAAGUCUGAGAUAAGCGUGUAGAAAGCACAGGACGUCCCUGUUUGGACGAGGGUUCAAUCCCCUCCAGCUCCAC
RNAcentral lists this transfer-messenger RNA (403 nucleotides) under pig gut metagenome. It matches the Rfam family "transfer-messenger RNA". From Rfam's summary of the family: Bacterial tmRNA, also known as 10Sa RNA or SsrA, is named for its dual tRNA and mRNA-like properties. The record is from RNAcentral.